Molecule: ribosomal RNA, 1081 nt
Filed under: uncultured Symbiodinium
Lineage: Eukaryota; Dinophyceae; Suessiales; Symbiodiniaceae
Description: partial Bacterial large subunit ribosomal RNA
Rfam family: Bacterial large subunit ribosomal RNA
Source: RNAcentral
CCGAACCCACGCAUGUUGCAAAAUGCGGGGAUGAGCUGUGGAUAGGGGUGAAAGGCCAAUCAAACACCGUGAUAGCUGGUUCUCCCCGAAAUGCAUUUAGGUGCAGCGUUGCGUGGUUCUUGUUGGAGGUAGAGCACUGGAUGGUCUAGGGGGCUUAUCGGCUUACCGAAAUCAGCCAAACUCCGAAUGCUGGCAAGCGUAGCGUGGCAGUGAGACGGCGGGGGAUAAGCUUCGUCGUCGAGAGGGAAACAGCCCAGAUCAUCAGCUAAGGCCCCUAAGUGGUGACUCAGUGGGAAAGGAUGUGGAGUUGCGUAGACAACCAGGAGGUUGGCUUGGAAGCAGCCAUCCUUGAAAGAGUGCGUAAUAGCUCACUGGUCAAGUGAUUCCGCGCCGAUAAUGUAGCGGGGCUUAAGUUAUCCGCCGAAGCUGUGGCAACCUGUGUGGUUGGGUAGGGGAGCGUCGUGUCAGUGGUGAAGCUGCCGGGUGACUGUGUGGUGGAGUUGAUGCGAGUGAGAAUGCAGGCAUGAGUAGCGUGUGACGGGUGGGAAUCCCGUCCGCCGAUUAUCCAAGGGUUCCAGGGUCAAGUUUGUCUGCCCUGGGUGAGUCGGGUCCUAAGGCGAGGCCGACAGGCGUAGUCGAUGGGUAACCAGUUGAUAUUCUGGUACCGGCUUGUCACCGUCCGUGUCGAGGUGUGUGAUGCUAAGCAUGUGAGCUUGUCUUGGGAGUGUUUUUGAUGCUUCUGGGGUGGGUGAGUGUGUGAACCGAUCAUGUAGUAGGCAAGCUGCGGAGGGACGCAGUGAGGUAGCUCAUCCCCGGUGAUGGUUGUCCGGGGCUAAGUGUGUGGACUGUCUGGUAGGUAAAUCCGCUGGGCGUGAAGGUUGAGGCAUGAUGGGGAGCCCACGGUUGUGGGUGAGUGAGUGAUCCUGUACUGUCGAGAAAAGCUUCGUGAGCGAGGUGGCGGGUCCGCCCGUACCCUAAACCGACACUGGUGGAUAGGUAGAGUAUACCGAGGCGAUCGAGUGAAUCGUGGUGAAGGAACUCGGCAAAAUGCCCCCGUAACUUUGGGAUAAGGGGGACCUGA